This 2810-nucleotide long non-coding RNA is filed under the name Homo sapiens (human). RNAcentral describes it as "PREDICTED lncRNA (TCONS_00195372)". Lineage: Eukaryota; Metazoa; Chordata; Mammalia; Primates; Hominidae. The record is from RNAcentral.
GGGCUCAGGGGCCGAGAGGGAGCUGGGCUUGGGGCGGGGCCGAGACGGAGCGAGGGGUCCAGGGUGUGAGAAACGGGGAGGGGUUUGAGGAGGGGAUUGGAGUGUGGCUCAAGUUCGGGAGGCGUUACCUGCGGAGGGUUUGAGGCAGGCCCAGGAGCGAGCCCACGGUCUGCCGACGCGGGGCCAGCGGCGGGCCCCAGGAUCCGGAGCUUCGGGCGGGGCCGAGUCCAGGCAGGAAUCGGAGUGCCGUAGUACAAUCACAGCUCACUGCAGCCUCAAACUCCUGGGUUCCAGCGAUCCUCCCGCCUCAGCCUCCCCAGUAGCUGGGGCUACAGCCCAGUAAAGGCGCCAUUCCCCAUUUUACAGCUGGGGAAACUGAGUUACAGAGCUUGUCUACACUGAGUCAACAGGAGCAAAUGCUAGAUCAGGUCUAGCUGGAGUACAGUGAUGCAGUCAUAGCCCACUGCAGCCUCAAAAUUCCUGGGCUCAAGCAAUCCACCCACAUCAGCUUCCCAAGUAGUUGGGACUACAGGCCCACACUACUAUACCCAGGAUCUCUCUCUCUCUGCCACCCAGGCCAGAGCGCAGUUGAUGCAGGUCAGGGGAGCCCCCCAGUGGAGCAUAGUGUGUCCAGAACUGGUGGGUUGUUGGUCUCACUGACUUCAAGAAUGAAGCCACGGACCCUCGGGGUGAGCGUCACAGUUCUUAAAGGCGGUGCGUCCGGAGUUUUUUCCUUCUGAUGCUCGGAUGUGUUCAGAGUUUCUUCCUUCUGGUGGGUUGCUGGUCUCACUGGCUUCAGGAGUGAAGCUGCAGACCUUCAAGGCUGGAGUGCAAUGGUGCCAUCUCAGCUCGCUGCAACCUCUGCCUUCUGGAUUAAAGCAAUUCUCCUGCCUCAGCCUCCCGGGUAGCUGGGAUUACAGGUAGAAGUUGCUGGUCCCAUCUUGCUCACAAUCCUCCAAAGUUUGAAAGUUAUUUUCCAGGAGACUUGGCUUGCACUGAGAGCUGCCCUCCCACCCUCUCUCCAAAUUUCCUCUUGGGGGUAGCCUAACAAGGUGCUGUCACAGACCCUUGUCGGCCACGAUGACCCCACCCAGACCAUCCCUCUGCUGUUUCACUCUUUGAUAGUCUCUGGAGCUCUCUGGGGAGGGGUGAGACCUGCCGUCUAGUUUGUAUGGUUUGCCCAGGUCUUACAGUCAUGGCUGGCUGCCUCUCUCUGAGAACUAGAACUCCUGAACUUGGUGAAAGACCUCAGCCAUCGAUCAUGUUGAAUUAUCGGGGACACUCAUUUGAAAUCCGAGCCUGUUCCAGAUAGACUCUCUCUCUUUCUGCCCUGACCGUGAGAGAAGCCCUGCUGGACGGUGGAGACACUCGUGGGCUGUGAGCAAGGGAUGCAAAGGCUGCCGGGAAUCCCAUCUUUCCAGCAUCAUCUGCCAAGGCACAUUAGUUCCUGGGUAUCUGGAUGGGUUCUAGCAGCAUUACUGUCAUUGAAGGAAAAAUUUUAGCCAUAUUAAAGGUUAAUGCAGCAAUCUCCACAUAGGCUGCCUGGAAGGGAAGCAGGACAAGGUUAGGUUUUCCUUGUGAUGGACAGGAGGCAGGCGGCCCUCCCACAGCCCUGCCUGGCAAUACAGAUGUGUCCCCAAAAGGCACUGGGGGCCAGCUGGAGUGCUAUGCCGAGGCGGACUGACCCGGGCCGUGGGUUCACUCUGCUGGCAGCGGUUUCCCGCCAGCUCCUUGCAGAGUUGGCAGAUGGCCCAGCCCCACAGCAGGAGCCGGGAAUGGCAGAACGAGACACAACAAUUUGAUAUCCACUUGCCAGAUGAGCCGGGUGUCAUCAGUCGCCUGGCUCUAUGCCCAACCUCUUUUUGCAUAAACACUUAUGGAUUCAGCCAAGAGGAAAAGCACUCUGAUUAUGAAUUGAGCAGAAGGAAACAAAGUUCUGCAGAUAAACACCAAUGAAACAAAAAACCACGAAUAAGAAAAAUGACAGAAAAGGAGAACCUUCCCAGAAUCCUCCUGCCAGUGAACGGUCACCAGAGCAAGAGCAUGGAGUCCCUGGGUUUUGAACUGUGAGAUAAGGAAGAUGAUGAAAACCUCCCUAGCAGCCAGAGACAGGGUCUUGUUGUGUUGCCCAGGCUGGACUCAAACUCCUGGGUUCAAAUGAUUCUUCUGCCUCAGUCUCCCGAGUAGCUGAGACUACAGCCAGGUACUAUUCUAGAUUGUCUUGUGAUAUUUACAAUCUAGGAGAAGGCAGGAGAGAGAACUAAGAACAGAGAGCAUGUUCUGAGAUGUCUGCUGUGUUUGCAGACUUAGAUUUUUGGCUGGACUAUUGGCUUGGGAUAGAUGAAAAUCAUUCCUUGUAUCCCCUGAUCUUAAAGUCAAGACUGAACCAGCCUCCAGAUGCAAGCCUUCAUGGGGCUUCAGAUACCAUGAGGAAUGGGCGUCCCUGCAAUAUUGUCAUGGCUGUCAAAAGUGUUAUUGGAGCUGGACGUGAGGCUUCUCCCCAGCACCAGCAUUCCAUGAAGGCAGCCCUUUUCUAGAUGGAGAAAACAGAACCUGAAGGCACCCGUUUCCCUAAACUGCUCUCACUCAUGUAAACUCCUGGAGGGCAGAGCCAUGCCUGCCAUUUUCAUCAUUGCAUUACCACCACCCAGCACAGUGCCUGGUACAAAAGAGUUGCUCAAUAAAUAAAUCAGGAUGAAUGGACAAAUACACGGAUAGGCACUUUGAACUACAGAUGAGCUUAAAUACUUUGUGUUUUUCUUAGUCAAACAUGUGCAAUUAAGCAUGUGAUAAAUUAUAUGAUGACCACA